RNAcentral lists this ribosomal RNA (449 nucleotides) under uncultured bacterium. RNAcentral's name for it is "partial 16S ribosomal RNA". It matches the Rfam family "Bacterial small subunit ribosomal RNA", at positions 29 to 523 of the family's 1533-position model. The record is from RNAcentral.
AGCGAACGCUGGCGGCAGGCCUAACACAUGCAAGUCGAACGAAGCCUUCGGGCUUAGUGGCGGACGGGUGAGUAACACGUGGGAACGUACCUUUAGGUUCGGAACAACUCAGGGAAACUUGAGCUAAUACCGGAUAAGCCCUUCGGGGGAAAGAUUUAUCGCCUUUAGAGCGGCCCGCGUUAGAUUAGCUAGUUGGUGAGGUAAAGGCUCACCAAGGCUACGAUCUAUAGCUGGUCUGAGAGGAUGAUCAGCCACACUGGGACUGAGACACGGCCCAGACUCCUACGGGAGGCAGCAGUGGGGAAUCUUGCGCAAUGGGCGAAAGCCUGACGCAGCCAUGCCGCGUGAAUGAUGAAGGUCUUAGGAUUGUAAAAUUCUUUUACCAGGGACGAUAAUGACGGUACCUGGAGAAAAAGCCCCGGCUAACUUCGUGCCAGCCGCCGCGGUAA